RNAcentral lists this small RNA (782 nucleotides) under Pongo abelii (Sumatran orangutan). RNAcentral's name for it is "processed transcript". Lineage: Eukaryota; Metazoa; Chordata; Mammalia; Primates; Hominidae. The record is from RNAcentral.
CUCACUGCUAGGGGCUUAAGUGGAGGGAGUCGAGCCAGCGUCGCCGCGAUGGUGUUGUUGGAGAGCGAGCAGUUCCUGACGGAGCUGACCAGACUUUUCCAGAAGUGCCGGACGUCGGGCAGCGUCUAUAUCACCUUGAAGAAGUAUGACGGUCGAACCAAACCCAUUCCAAAGAAAGGUACUGUGGAGGGCUUUGAGCCCGCAGACAACAAGUGUCUGUUAAGAGCUACCGAUGGGAAGAAGAAGAUCAGCACUGUGGGAGAAAACCCAAUGCCACCUUUCUAAGGGAUUUCAAGAGGUGAGCUCCAAGGAAGUGAAUAAGUUUCAGAUGGCUUAUUCAAACCUCCUGAGAGCUAACAUGGAUGGGCUGAAGAAGAGAGACAAAAAGAACAAAACUAAGAAGACCAAAGCAGCAGCAGCAGCAGCAGCACCUGCCGCAGCAGCAACAGCAGCAACAACAGCAGCAACAGCAGCAACAGCAGCACAGUAAAGGGCAUACAUUUCCUGCUUUCACCAAUUAACCACUGAAUUGCUAUUUUUUCCUUUUGGCCAGAUAGCUAGGUUUCUGGUUCCCCCACAGUAGGUGUUUUCACAUAAGAUUAGGGUCCUUUUGGAAAGAAUAGUUGCAGUGUUUAUAGGAUAGUUGUGGUAAGAAUCUAGUUUAUUUUGCAUUUGGCUAAUUGGUCUGUGCUGCAUGGUUAUAUACUCCUGGAUUAUAGAUUACAAGUCUCUGUAGACAUCUCUGUGAAGAGCAAGCUAUCAUUAAACAUGUCUGUUUAUCA